Pan troglodytes (chimpanzee) is the source of this 3374-nucleotide long non-coding RNA. RefSeq lists it as uncharacterized. The record is from RefSeq and is a predicted model, not a curated record. The transcript is spliced from 10 exons. Lineage: Eukaryota; Metazoa; Chordata; Mammalia; Primates; Hominidae.
AACUUUGGUGAUGAGGGGCAGCGAAGGGGUGGGAUGGGAUCUUGGUCCAGCUGGUACUGGAGCGGCGACAAUUUUGGCUAGUCUAAGAAGGGCAUUCGAGUGACCGUUGACAACGGGUGGGACAGCGUCAGAGCUGGAGGGAGAGCCAGCACUGUAUGCUUCCAGGACUUCUUGCUAGGUGCAUUAGUUUUUAUUUUUAAGAGUUGGGUAAAAGACAUUAAUUAGUUAGCAUCUCACUCAUCGGCGAUUUUCUACGGUAUGAUUUCAUCCAAAGAGGAUUUCUUAAUCGCACUGUGUGACACCGUUAGGGGACUUAGAGUGUCACUCGCCGCCUUAAAUCCUUUCGGGAACAAGCCAGGAUAUAAAUAAAUAAAGCUAGGUGUGGGUCUUCCCUUCACAAGGCGCUGGUAGGCAGACUAAAGACAGGCAACAGCUGAGUGUGCACACAGAACUAAAUAUUGAACGAAAUACGAGUGCCGGAAUAAAAUUCAUUGCCAUGUGCACGGCUUAUGAUUAUACAGAUCUUGGACAUAUCACGGACCUGAACGUCAACCCUACAACACCGGAUAAAACAUCUAAUGUAGCUGGAAUAGACUCUGAAAGGACGUUAGGCAUUAUCUAAAUCAAGUCCCUCAUUUUACAGAUGAGUAAACUGACUCAGUGAAGUAUUUUGCUCAAGGUCGUUCAUCAAAUUAGUAGUUUAACUAACUCAGUGUUUUAGGAAGCAGGGUAGUAGAAAAGCAUGGGAUUCGGAGUCUGAAAUCUUCCUUGGUUUCUGGUCCUUGUAGGCUGUUUUACAAGUGUAUCUUGGGCAAAUCUCUUAACGUGUUGCCAUUUAUUAAGGGCUUACCACGUGGCAAACAAUCCACUUUGCAUGCUGUGUCAAUUACAUGCAGUAUGUCGUGUAGUUAUUACUGUCCCCAUUUUAUGAGGUAGUUUAGGUUUAAAGAUAUUAGAAAUUUACCCGAAGUUACGCAGUUAUAAACAUUGUAGUAAUUUCAAACUCAGGUCUUCGUAACUGCAAAGGCUGCUGUCUUAGGUAUUGCAAUACAUUAGAGCUCCGGAUUCCCUCCCACUCAAAACAGAGACUGAGACUCCAACCAAUUUCCACCAUUCUUGGGAGUCAAACGAGAGAGACUGUGGCAAUGUAUUCUAAGCUGUACAAAGGUAUAAACAUAUUCACUAGAUUUGUAGAAUGAAGAUAUUCCUUCCCUAUACUUUCCACUACAAAAUUCAACCAAAAAGAUGGCUUUCAUACUAAGCUAGCAUAAGAAGGAACUUCACUGUAAUUAUGAUAUUCUAACCAAGAAUAUAUGCAUAUCUAGGCAAUAACCAAAGUGAAUAGAAUAAAAUUUAAUUCCUGAUAGAUUAAAUAGGCAAUAGCAAGGAAUGCUAACGCUCCUCAUAGCGUUCUUGUUGGAAGAAUCAUCUAGGAGGCAUUGGGAUUUCUGGUGCUUUUUAAGCAAUGAGAGAUAUCAGUCCACUGAAUGAGGAAGAGAAUAACGUUUAGUUUGGGACUAAAAGUUCAUCUGGACUACGGAAAACACGUUUGCCUCAAUCAGUGAAGAAGGUAUGCUGAGAGCUGAAAGAAAAGGAAAGCAGAUAGUCAAAACUUUUGAUUCUACUUGCUGCUUCCUGGAACUCAGCCUGCAUGCUGUGAGAAGCCCAAGGCAGACCGAGGAAUCACAAAGAUGAGAACAGAGGCAUUCUAGCAACAGAGAGCUCAGAAAUUCCCAGACUGUUUUGAUGAUAAGGUCCAAGAACUUGCCAUGUGAUCUAUCACUACUAGACUCCCACAACUGCAUUAGAUUUGUUCAGGAUUUUCAUAUAAUUUUCAUAACUGGCUAAGUUCUGAAAUAACCCAUCUUGAAGACAUAAACAAUGUGCAUUGAUGGCUAGCCAGACUCUGUCCUGCCACGGUUCUCCUCCUACUCUUCAUUUCUUACCCCAAGGAGUAGUAAACAUGAAUCCUGACCCACCAAUGCAGUCCCAGAACUGAGAAAAGAUUCACUGCAGCUAAACACAUUGGAAAUGGAUGGGGAGAAGGCCUGAUGAAAAUUACUGAGGAAGCCUCUUAGCCUAUGUGCUCUGAGAGUAGUGACACCCAGUAGUCCUUAAGACCACUUAAAUUAUCCUAAGACAAUGGAUGUGAACAGGCACUUUUCAAAAGAAGACAUACAUGCAGCCAACAAUCAAAUGAAAAAAGCUCUACAUUACCGAUCAUUAGAGAAAUGCAAAUCAAAACCACACAAAAGAUGAUCAAGAGGAGCAUGAAAAAAUCCCCUGAAUCUAUUGGCUUUCUUCCCUAUACUGACAACAGUUUACUUGUGUAAGAAGAUGGAUGUCUAUUGCUUUUCUCUUGAUAUUCAUGGCACUGCUCCUCUCCAUCCAUAGGAUUAUCUUAUAGAUGAGGGUCUCAUCCUUUUGCCCAGGCUGGAGUACAGUGGUGUGUAUGUAGCUCACUGCAGCCUUCAACUCCUGAUCCUCCAACCUCAGCCUCCACAGUUGCUGGGAUUACAAGUGAUAGCACUGCAGAGUCCAUCUGAAUACACAGACAAUAUGUAUGAGAGUUAAUUAAGGAAAGUAUUGAUGAAAGCAUAAUUUGUUUCUGAAGCUUAUCAACUGAAAUGGAUAUUAAUCCAAGGUCCUGCACAAUAGCAGACUUGACACAUCUAUUUCCUGGGGAAACAAAUUAUAUUUAUUUUUGAAAUAUUAUUCAUAAGACUUUACUUGAACUUGAUAAAUGUAACUGUCUUGAUGAUAUCAUCCACGAACUUUUUUGUUAUGUGAGAGACUAUACUGAUAUCUAGGCAAUGAUAUAGACUUACAGUGUGUUAUCGUAGCAUGAUAGAGGCUGGGGUUACCAGUAAGCAACUCAGUUUUGCAAGGUAACCUAUUGUGCAUCUGUCUGCACAGAGAAGUCAAUCUUUUUGUAGAUUUUAAGUAUUCUUAAAUUUAUGUUUUCCAUUUGUUCAUCAAAGCAAAUAUUGUUCAAACUUUCAUUUUUCUGUACCAUUACAUUUUCUUAAUAACAUCUGGAAGACAUUUCUUAAUGUUAAAUUAAAAUGUUAGCAAGAAGCUUACACAUGUAUGACCUAAACUGUAAGCUGAGGAACUGAGUCCCAUUGCAGUAAGUAAUAUUUUGUGCGCUGAAGGGAGGAUUUAUUACUAAACUUGAACAUUCACAAUGAGCAAUGUCACUCUCUUUGGCUGACAUAUCCAGCUUUUUUUCUGGAUUUUCACUUAGCUAUAAGUUCAAUAAGAAUUUUUCAUACAUCUUCUGUCAAGAAAAAUAGAGUAAUCUCAUCAGAACUUGGCAUAGCAAGAAUUUGAAGUGUUGUUAUUUUUUGACUAUUAUAAUAAAUGAAUGACAG